RNAcentral lists this ribosomal RNA (427 nucleotides) under uncultured Lysobacter sp. RNAcentral's name for it is "bacterial SSU rRNA". It matches the Rfam family "Bacterial small subunit ribosomal RNA", at positions 355 to 774 of the family's 1533-position model. The record is from RNAcentral. Lineage: Bacteria; Pseudomonadati; Pseudomonadota; Gammaproteobacteria; Lysobacterales; Lysobacteraceae.
UGGGGAAUAUUGGACAAUGGGCGCAAGCCUGAUCCAGCCAUGCCGCGUGGGUGAAGAAGGCCUUCGGGUUGUAAAGCCCUUUUGUCCGGAAAGAAAAGCUUCGGGUUAAUACCCCGGGGUCCUGACGGUACCGGAAGAAUAAGCACCGGCUAACUUCGUGCCAGCAGCCGCGGUAAUACGAAGGGUGCAAGCGUUACUCGGAAUUACUGGGCGUAAAGCGUGCGUAGGUGGUUUGUUAAGUCUGAUGUGAAAGCCCUGGGCUCAACCUGGGAAUUGCAUUGGAUACUGGCAGGCUAGAGUGCGGUAGAGGGUAGUGGAAUUCCCGGUGUAGCAGUGAAAUGCGUAGAUAUCGGGAGGAACACCAGUGGCGAAGGCGACUACCUGGACCAGCACUGACACUGAGGCACGAAAGCGUGGGGAGCAAACA